RNAcentral lists this ribosomal RNA (474 nucleotides) under uncultured bacterium. RNAcentral describes it as "bacterial SSU rRNA". It matches the Rfam family "Bacterial small subunit ribosomal RNA", at positions 198 to 662 of the family's 1533-position model. The record is from RNAcentral.
AGUCGCAAGACCUCGCGCGAUGGGAGCGGCCGAUAUCGGAUUAGCUUGUUGGUGAGGUAAAGGACUCACCAAGGCGACGAUCCGUAGCUGGUCUGAGAGGACGACCAGCCACACUGGAACUGAGACACGGUCCAGACUCCUACGGGAGGCAGCAGUGGGGAAUUUUGGAUAAUGGGGGCAACCCUGAUCCAGCCAUUCCGCGUGAGUGAAGAAGGCCUUCGGGGUUGUAAAAGCUCUUUCAGCAGGAACGAAACGGUGGCCACUAAUACUGGCUACUAAUGACGGUACCUGAAGAAGAAGCACCGGCUAACUACGUGCCAGCAGCCGCGGUAAUACGUAGGGUGCGAGCGUUAAUCGGAAUUACUGGGCGUAAAGCGUGCGCAGGCGGUUCCAUAAGACAGAUGUGAAAUCCCCCGGGGCUUAACCUGGGAACUGCGUUUGUGACUGUGGGACUCGAGUGUGGCAGAGGGGGGG